Amborella trichopoda is the source of this 992-nucleotide non-coding RNA. Lineage: Eukaryota; Viridiplantae; Streptophyta; Magnoliopsida; Amborellales; Amborellaceae. The record is from RefSeq and is a predicted model, not a curated record.
GAAAGUUGUGAGAAAUCUAGGGGGUGUGUGGGAGCCUGGAGACAACUCUAUCGGAGAGGUCUCUCCAGGCUUUGCCGCUAUCCAUGGUUUGAAUAGCACCUUUGGUUCGGCCUAUUCAUGUUUUUUUGCCCAAAAAAGUGGAUAAUGUUAUUCCACCGGAAUACCACUCCAUGGUUUCGUGAUAGGCCAAUCUCCGUCGGACUUGAAAUGUUUGCAACUCAUUCGAGUUAAAUAGAAAUAUUUUGAGGUCCACGAAUAAAGACGUCUUCCCAAGUGAUUCUACAAAUUCCUAGCACUUGUGCGAAACCUAUGCCUCUGCAAAACCCUAGUGUCGUAUCUCCUUCGCCAUUGCAUCUGCAUGCCAUCGAUCUCCUUCGCAAUUGAGCCUGAGGCCGUCUUCUGCAACGACAAGUGCCUCUUCAUUUCCUGCCAAAUUGAGAUUAAUUUUAACCCUAUUCCCAUCAUGCUUUUCCCUCAUUUUGGAUCCUGGUUUUUAAACUCUCUUAUAUGUUGAAAUGUGCCACAUAAUUAUAGAAUGUUUGAUGCUUAAUUGCUUCCCAAAUAGAUGAUGCGAAAUUAGCUUAUAUCUUAAUGGCAUCCUGGAAGGCUUCCCAUGAUAUGUAGCUACGACUUUGGCUGUAAACCAGGCAAACAUGAGCUUGAUAUAUAGCUUGUCAUAGUCAAAUCAAUUAUGCACUGAUAAUGCUUGCUUUUGGUGGAGGAGAAGAUUGAAUUUGAAGUGUUUGAUGAAUUUUCAAAGUGAUGUAUAAUUUGACAAUGCAAUCUGUAUGGUGUUGUAUUUUUAAGUACUUAAGCAUUGUCAUGUGUUUAAUCAAUCUCCUUGUAUCUUAUAUUUGGACUUAGUCAAGGGAUAGAUUAGAGUUGCAAUUUUCAUUUUUAGGUAUAAGAGAAGCCAAUUGUGGGGGCUGAAAAUUGUAUUUGACUAUUUGUUGAUGCAAGAUUCAUGUAAUUGAAGUAAUUAUUGUAUUGUA